GACAGAGGGUGCAAACGUUGUUCGGAGUUACUGGGCGUAAAGCGUGUGUAGGCGGCCAUACAAGUCGGAUGUGAAAGCCCUGGGCUCAACCCAGGAAGUGCACCCGAAACUGUGUGGCUUGAGUACUGGAGAGGUUGGUGGAAUUCUCGGUGUAGAGGUGAAAUUCGUAGAUAUCGAGAGGAACACCGGUGGCGAAGGCGGCCAACUGGACAGAUACUGACGCUGAGACACGAAAGCGUGGGGAGCAAACAGG
Molecule: ribosomal RNA, 253 nt
Filed under: uncultured bacterium
Lineage: Bacteria
Description: partial 16S ribosomal RNA
Rfam family: Bacterial small subunit ribosomal RNA
Source: RNAcentral